AACGAACGCUGGCGGCAUGGAUUAGGCAUGCAAGUUGAACGAACCACUUCGGUGGAGAGUAGCGGAAGGGUGAGGAACGCGUGAGUAAUCUGCCCCUCAGUUGGGAAUAACAGUUGGAAACGGCUGCUAAUACCGAAUGUGGCUUAAGUUCCGCAUGGGACUUCGGCUAAAGAUUUAUCGCUGAGGGAUGAGCUCGCGUCCCAUUAGGUAGUUGGUGAGGUAACGGCUCACCAAGCCGACGAUGGGUAGCUGGUCUGAGAGGAUGGUCAGCCACACUGGGACUGAGACACUGCCCAGACUCCUACGGGAGGCUGCAGUCGAGAAUCUUGGGCAAUGCGCGAAAGCGUGACCCAGCAAUGCCGCGUGUAUGAUGAAGGCCCUCGGGUCGUAAAGCUCUGUCCUAAGGGAAGAAACGGACGGUACCUUAGGAGGAAGCCCCGGCUAACUACGUG
Molecule: ribosomal RNA, 452 nt
Filed under: uncultured bacterium
Lineage: Bacteria
Description: bacterial SSU rRNA
Rfam family: Bacterial small subunit ribosomal RNA
Source: RNAcentral